RNAcentral lists this ribosomal RNA (496 nucleotides) under uncultured bacterium. RNAcentral describes it as "partial 16S ribosomal RNA". It matches the Rfam family "Bacterial small subunit ribosomal RNA", at positions 28 to 507 of the family's 1533-position model. The record is from RNAcentral.
GACGAACGCUGGCGGCGUGCCUAAUACAUGCAAGUCGAGCGAUGAAGAGUGGUGCUUGCACCUAUUUGAAGAGCAGCGCACGGGUGAGUAACGCGUGGGGAAACUGCCUUGGAGCGGGGGACAACAUUCGGAAAAGAAUGCUAAUACCGCAUAACAACUUUAAACAUAAGUUUUAAGUUUGAAAGAUGCAAUUGCAUCACUCAAAGAUGAUCCCGCGUUGUAUUAGCUAGUUGGUGGGGUAAAGGCACACCAAGGCGAUGAUAAAUAGCCGACCUGAGAGGAGGACCAGCCACACGGGAACUGGGCCACGGCCAAAACUCUUCGGGGAGGCGCAGGAGGGGAACAUUGGCCAAUGAGGGAAAGCUUGACGAAGAACGCCGGCGUGUAUGAGGAGGUUCUUGGGUUUUUAAAGUCUGUUGGUAGGGAAGGAAGGUGGUGAGGGUGAAACGCUCAUUCAGUGACGGUAACUACAGAGAAAGCGACGGCUAACUACGUG